Schistosoma rodhaini is the source of this 45-nucleotide non-coding RNA. Lineage: Eukaryota; Metazoa; Platyhelminthes; Trematoda; Strigeidida; Schistosomatidae. The record is from Rfam.
AUCCAACUGACGAGUACAAAAUAAGACGAAACGCGCAUACUGGAU